GAGUUUGAUCAUGGCUCAGGAUGAACGCUGGCCGUAUGCCUAACACAUGCAAGUCGUACGAGAGUUUUUAACUCUAGUGGCGGACGGGUGAGUAACACGUGAGAAUUUGCCUUUAGGAGGGGGACAACAAUUGGAAACGAAUGCUAAUACCCCAUAUGCUUUCGAGCGAAAUGGAUUUAUAUUUAUCCGCCUAGAGAGAAGCUCGCGGCUGAUUAGCUUGUUGGUAAGGUAAGAGCUUACCAAGGCGACGAUCAGUAUCUGGUUUGAGAGGACGAUCAGACACACUGGAACUGAGACACGGUCCAGACUCCUACGGGAGGCAGCAGUGGGGAAUUUUCCGCAAUGGGCGAAAGCCUGACGGAGCAAUACAGCGUGAGGGAAGACUGCCUAUGGGUUGUAAACCUCUUUUUUCAGGGAGGAAUAAAUGACGUGUACCUGAAGAAUAAGCAUCGGCUAACUCCGUGCCAGCAGCCGCGGUAAGACGGAGGAUGCAAGUGUUAUCCGGAAUCACUGGGCGUAAAGCGUCUGUAGGUGGUUUAAUAAGUCAACUGUUAAAUCUUGAGGCUCAACUUCAAAAUCGCAGUCGAAACUAUUAGACUAGAGUAUAGUAGAGGUAAAGGGAAUUUCCAGUGGAGCGGUGAAAUGCGUAGAUA
Molecule: ribosomal RNA, 653 nt
Filed under: uncultured bacterium
Lineage: Bacteria
Description: bacterial SSU rRNA
Rfam family: Bacterial small subunit ribosomal RNA
Source: RNAcentral